UUGAAUAAUUUUAAAAUAGGUUCAAUAGAUAAGUAAUUUAUUGAGUAUAAGAGAAUCUGGGUGAAAAUCCCACAUGGUCUCGCCGCUGUAAGAGAAUAGUUUUUUCAAUUGCCACUGGAUAGCUCUGGGAAGGGUGAAAAAGCGUUGACGCUCAAGUCAGAAUACCUGCCUAUUUUAAGCUGCCAAA
This 187-nucleotide non-coding RNA is filed under the name Clostridium sp. RNAcentral also lists the same sequence under 1 other name. Lineage: Bacteria; Bacillati; Bacillota; Clostridia; Eubacteriales; Clostridiaceae. The record is from RNAcentral.